UUAACUUCGUUAACACGUAGCUCAGAGGGCACGGUAGAGACUGAGUCCUGGUGACCGCGGCGGGCGCCUGCCGAGGCAGGCCGGGGGCCCCGCCCUGGGGCCGCCCGCCGAGGCAACGUACGGUAGGUUCACGGUGGGUUAGGAGUCUCGCGACCCUGUUAAUGAUCCCUCCGCUGGUUCACCAACGGAGA
Molecule: unclassified non-coding RNA, 191 nt
Filed under: uncultured fungus
Lineage: Eukaryota; Fungi
Description: sequence contains ITS1
Source: RNAcentral